GGGGGGGGCGGGUAAGGGGGAAAGGGUGAAAAACCUUAGUAAAGCAUAAACAAACCAAGAAAUUAAGAGAAACCCAAAAGAAUACAUAGUUCAUAUACCGUUUUAUAUGAAUGUGUGCAACACUUAUUAACCAUGGUGAAAGGCUAAUUGUGCCCUCCGGUCACUACAUGCACAGCCUGAUCGAUGCUGUUAAUGAAUUACCUGUGUUAACUUACAAUGCAACUACAGCGUGACCAAGAGCGCGCCGUCCUGGCCCGGGGGUCGGCUCUGGGCGCACGGCGGUGCUUCACAGGAUGGUACACUACGCAUGGGACAGGUCGGGAGGUGGGGGGGCGAGUGUGCGCGCGCGCACGUGCUUGCUUGUGGGGGUGUGCGCGCGUGCGUGCGAGAGACAGUGUGUGCUAUAACAUUCGUGUCAGUCUUUCUUGAACGCUGCAGUUCCUGAUCCUGGGACAGGCGCUGGGCUUCACGCUUCCGAAAGACUUGUUACACCAUCUCGUACUGGUUAGCAGUAAUAAACCGGGACAGGCAGCACGCCAGCAGCAUCCCGAUCAACUGUGAGAAUGCAAUUCCAAAAGCAACUCCAGCUAUAAUUCCC
RNAcentral lists this long non-coding RNA (598 nucleotides) under Gallus gallus (chicken). The record is from RNAcentral. Lineage: Eukaryota; Metazoa; Chordata; Aves; Galliformes; Phasianidae.